AUUGAACGCUGGCGGCAGGCCUAACACAUGCAAGUCGAGCGAGCGGCGGACGGGUGAGUAAUGUAUGGGGACUGCCCGAUAGAGGGGGAUAACUACUGGAAACGGUAGCUAAUACCGCAUACUAUCGGAUAACCCAUAUGGGAUUAGCUAGAAGGUGGGGUAAUGGCUCACCUAGGCGACGCACCCACGCUGGUCUGAGAGGAUGGUCAGCCACACGGGGACUGAGACACGGCCCAGACUCCUACGGAGGCAGCAGUGGGGAAUAUUGCACAAUGGGCGCAAGCCUGAUGCAGCCAUGCCGCGUGUAUGAAGAAGGCCCGAGGGUUGUAAAGUACUUUCAGUCGGGAGGCUUUACCGACAGAAGAAGCACCGGCUAACUCCGUGCCAGCAGCCGCGGUAAUUC
Molecule: ribosomal RNA, 403 nt
Filed under: uncultured bacterium
Lineage: Bacteria
Description: partial 16S ribosomal RNA
Rfam family: Bacterial small subunit ribosomal RNA
Source: RNAcentral